CUAGCUUGCUAGUUGCUGACGAGUGGCGGACGGGUGAGUAAUAUAUAGGGAUCUGCCUAAUAGUGGGGGACAACGUGUGGAAACGCACGCUAAUACCGCAUACGCUCUACGGAGGAAAGUGGGGGAUCUUCGGACCUCAUGCUAUUAGAUGAACCUAUAUCGGAUUAGCUUGUUGGUGAGGUAAUGGCUCACCAAGGCGACGAUCCGUAGCUGGUUUGAGAGAAUGAUCAGCCACACUGGGACUGAGACACGGCCCAGACUCCUACGGGAGGCAGCAGUGGGGAAUAUUGCACAAUGGACGAAAGUCUGAUGCAGCAAUGCCGCGUGUGUGAAGAAGGCCUUCGGGUUGUAAAGCACUUUCAGAUGUGAGGAAAAGCAGUCUAUUAAUACUAGAUUGCCGUGACGUUAACAUCAGAAGAAGGACCGGCUAACUCCGUGCCAGCAGCCGCGGUAAUACGGAGGGUCCAAGCGUUAAUCGGAAUUACUGGGCGUAAAGCGCGCGUAGGCGGAUAUUUAAGUCAGAUGUGAGAUCCCUGGGCUCAACCUAGGAACUGCAUUUGAAACUGGAUAUCUAGAGUAUGGUAGAGGUGAGUGGAAUUUCAGGUGUAGCGGUGAAAUGCGUAGAGAUCUGAAGGAACAUCAGUGGCGAAGGCGACUCACUGGGCCAUUACUGACGCUGAGGUGCGAAAGCGUGGGUAGCAAACAGGAUUAGAUACCCUGGUAGUCCACGCCCUAAACGAUGUCAACUAGGUGUGUGAGAGUCUAACUCUUGCGUAUCGAAGCUAACG
RNAcentral lists this ribosomal RNA (788 nucleotides) under uncultured Gammaproteobacteria bacterium. Its description in RNAcentral is "bacterial SSU rRNA". It matches the Rfam family "Bacterial small subunit ribosomal RNA", at positions 75 to 857 of the family's 1533-position model. Lineage: Bacteria; Pseudomonadati; Pseudomonadota; Gammaproteobacteria. The record is from RNAcentral.